RNAcentral lists this ribosomal RNA (502 nucleotides) under uncultured bacterium. Its description in RNAcentral is "partial 16S ribosomal RNA". It matches the Rfam family "Bacterial small subunit ribosomal RNA", at positions 30 to 523 of the family's 1533-position model. The record is from RNAcentral.
AUUGAACGCUGGCGGCAGGCUUAACACAUGCAAGUCGAGCGGGGUGAUGGUGCUUGCACUAUCACUUAGCGGCGGACGGGUGAGUAAUGCUUAGGAAUCUGCCUAUUGGUGGGGGACAACAUCUCGAAAGGGAUGCUAACACCGCAUACGUCCUACGGGAGAAAGCAGGGGAUCACUUGUGACCUUGCGCUAAUAGAUGAGCCUAAGUCGGAUUAGCUAGUUGGUGGGGUAAAGGCCUACCAAGGCGACGAUCUGUAGCGGGUCUGAGAGGAUGAUCCGCCACACUGGGACUGAGACACGGCCCAGACUCCUACGGGAGGCAGCAGUGGGGAAUAUUGGACAAUGGGGGAACCCUGAUCCAGCCAUGCCGCGUGUGUGAAGAAGGCCUUAUGGUUGUAAAGCACUUUAAGCGAGGAGGAGGCUCUUUUGGUUAAUACCCAAGAUGAGUGGACGUUACUCGCAGAAUAAACACCGGCUAACUCUGUGCCAGCCGCCGCAGUAA